Molecule: ribosomal RNA, 536 nt
Filed under: uncultured bacterium
Lineage: Bacteria
Description: bacterial SSU rRNA
Rfam family: Bacterial small subunit ribosomal RNA
Source: RNAcentral
GACGAACGCUGGCGGCGUGCCUAAUACAUGCAAGUCGAACGCACUCUUGUUAGAUUGAAGAAGCUUGCUUCUGAUUGAUAACAUUUGAGUGAGUGGCGGACGGGUGAGUAACACGUGGGUAACCUGCCCAUCAGAGGGGGAUAACACUUGGAAACAGGUGCUAAUACCGCAUAAUUCCUUUUACCGCAUGGUAAAAGGCUGAAAGGCGCUUCUGGUGUCACUGAUGGAUGGACCCGCGGUGCAUUAGCUAGUCGGUGGGGUAACGGCCUACCGAGGCGAUGAUGCAUAGCCGACCUGAGAGGGUGAUCGGCCACAUUGGGACUGAGACACGGCCCAAACUCCUACGGGAGGCAGCAGUAGGGAAUCUUCGGCAAUGGACGAAAGUCUGACCGAGCAACGCCGCGUGAGUGAAGAAGGUUUUCGGAUCGUAAAACUCUGUUGUUAGAGAAGAACAGGAGAAGUAGUAACUGGCUUCUUUUUGACGGUAUCUAACCAGAAAGCCACGGCUAACUACGUGCCAGCCGCCGCGGUAGUAA